This 124-nucleotide small RNA is filed under the name Escherichia coli. Its description in RNAcentral is "partial RtT sRNA". It matches the Rfam family "RtT RNA". From Rfam's summary of the family: This family represents a bacterial cis-regulatory element known as RtT RNA. The exact function of RtT is unknown although it is thought that it may be involved in changing the cellular response in relation to amino acid starvation. Lineage: Bacteria; Pseudomonadati; Pseudomonadota; Gammaproteobacteria; Enterobacterales; Enterobacteriaceae. The record is from RNAcentral.
CAAGCGGGGAAGGAUGAGAAGCUUCGACUAAGGUUCGACUCGAGCGCCAGCGAGAGAGCGUUGCCGCAGGCAACGACCCGAAGGGCGAAGCGCGCAGCGCUGAGUAAUCCUUCCCCCACCACCA